UGGCCCUCUCGGGGGCAUGUGCACACCCACCAUCCUCAUCUCUCCACCUGUGCACCUCUUGUAGACCUGGAUUGACUUUCCGAGGCAACUCGGUCGGGAAGAUUGCUGCGCUCUGUGAGCCAGCUUUCUUUGCAUGUCCAGGCCUAUGUUUUUCAUAUACCCCUAUAGAAUGUAACAGAAUGUAUCAUUGGGCCUUGUGCCUAUAAACCUUAUACAACUUUCAGCAACGGAUCUCUUGGCUCUCGCAUCGAUGAAGAACGCAGCGAAAUGCGAUAAGUAAUGUGAAUUGCAGAAUUCAGUGAAUCAUCGAAUCUUUGAACGCACCUUGCGCUCCUUGGUAUUCCGAGGAGCAUGCCUGUUUGAGUGUCAUUAAAUUCUCAACCUUAUUAACUUUUGUUGAUAAUGGAUUGGAUUGUGGGGGUUUCUUUUGCUGGCUUCUUCACAGAGAUCAGCUCCCCUUAAAUGCAUUAGCUGGUGCCCCGCGUGGACCAUCUAUUGGUGUGAUAAUUAUCUACGCCGUGGAUGUCUGCAAUCAUAUGGGUUUCGCACUGCUUCUAACCGUCUGUUCAUUCGGACAAUACAUGACAAUUUGACCUCAAAUCAGGUAGGACUACCCGCUGAACUUAAGCAUAUCAAUAAGCGGAGGAAAAGAAACUAACAAGGAUUCCCCUAGUAACUGCGAGUGAAGCGGGAAAAGCUCAAAUUUAAAAUCUGGCGGUCUCCGGCCGUCCGA
Molecule: ribosomal RNA, 733 nt
Filed under: uncultured fungus
Lineage: Eukaryota; Fungi
Description: eukaryotic LSU rRNA
Rfam family: 5.8S ribosomal RNA (bases 216-369)
Source: RNAcentral